Molecule: unclassified non-coding RNA, 374 nt
Filed under: uncultured Paludibacteraceae bacterium
Lineage: Bacteria; Pseudomonadati; Bacteroidota; Bacteroidia; Bacteroidales; Paludibacteraceae
Description: contains 16S-23S intergenic spacer region
Source: RNAcentral
UCGCACCUUACGGUGGCAGUCUCAUUAGAGUUCCCGGCAUUACCCGAUGGCAACUAAUGAUAAGGGUUGCGCUCGUUAUGGCACUUAAGCCGACACCUCACGGCACGAGCUGACGACAACCAUGCAGCACCUACACAUCUGCUAUUGCUAGAAUACCUGUUUCCAGGUACGUCAGAUGCAUUUCAAGCCCGGGUAAGGUUCCUCGCGUAUCAUCGAAUUAAACCACAUGUUCCUCCGCUUGUGCGGGCCCCCGUCAAUUCCUUUGAGUUUCAUUCUUGCGAACGUACUCCCCAGGUGGAAUACUUAACGCUUUCGCUGUACCGCUUACUGUAUAUCGCAAACAGUUAGUAUUCAUCGUUUACUGCGUGGACUAC